UACGGAGGGUCCGAGCGUUAUCCGGAAUCAUUGGGUUUAAAGGGUCCGUAGGCGGCCCUGUAAGUCAGUGGUGAAUCUCCCGGCUCAACCGGGAAAUUGCCAUUGAUACUGCAGGGCUUGAAUUAUUGGGAAGUAACUAGAAUAUGUAGUGUAGCGGUGAAAUGCUUAGAUAUUACAUGGAAUACCGAUUGCGAAGGCAGGUUACUACCGGUGGAUUGACGCUGAUGGACGAAAGCGUGGGUAGCGAACAGG
This 252-nucleotide ribosomal RNA is filed under the name uncultured bacterium. RNAcentral describes it as "partial 16S ribosomal RNA". It matches the Rfam family "Bacterial small subunit ribosomal RNA", at positions 524 to 776 of the family's 1533-position model. The record is from RNAcentral.